CAAAUAUCUUCCAAGAAAGUGUAUACUGAUACCUCCUACUUGCGUCAGUUUUGUCAGUUAAAUGUUGAAUUUCAUCCUCAAACAUCGAUGUCUGUCCAAGAUUCAUGCUUGCUCGUAGUUGAAAGAGAGAUAAAGACACAAACAAAACAAUUAAGCUAAAAAAAUUCAAAAAUUAAGUAGCAUCUAUUUGAGUUAUUCGUUACUGACCUGACAUUUGAGCUAACAUUGGAUGGCAUCAUGCAUCUGAUUGUACUAAUGUAAAUCAAAACCCAGUUAGUGAACUAGCAGAUUUCCAAGGAUGUAAGCAGUUUUCUCAUCCAAGUCGAGUCCUCGAUCAAAUCCUUGCAAGUUUUAGGGCUCAUUUGGUGGAACUUUUGAAAAUUCAAAAGUUGUUUUUAAACUUGUUUGGAUAAUUUAUAAAGGUGUCUUGUUGGGUUAGAAAAUUUUUAGAAGUUGGCCUUAAUAUACUCUUUUACAAAAGGCAAAAGCAAAAGUCCAGCAAACAGGCCCUUAAUGUCAAUCAAGGGUUGGUUGGACCAAAGUCCCCUUUUACCAGCCUCGAGAUGCCGGCGUUGCCAAAAAUCCUUGCAUGAGCAGACAUCAUCAAUUGAAGGAUGGAUACGGCUUCCAUACCUCAAAACCUUUUCCCUUCCAACCAGUCUGGAGAAACUCGUGGCAAUAACCACAAAUUCUUCUUGGUAAUCGGAAUUGGGGCACAGCCUCUUGUGCUGAUCAAUCCAAAAGCAAUAGCUAGCAUCUCCCCACUUCUUGUUCUGGUCAAUCCAAAAGCAAUAGCUAGCAUCACUGUGGCUUAAGACUUGAGAGCCUCUCGAAUUUCUUUUUUUCUUCUUCAUCGUGAAGAACCCAAAGAAGAUCAGUAACAUAUCCUCGUUCUUUUGUAGAAGACAACAAUUCCAAUUUUUGAUAAAUUUUGUCCCAUUGACCAUGCAAUUUAUCUCCAACAGCAACGUAGUGAAUCUUAUUUCCUGGAGGUUUUCUUAAAUCCUUCUCUCAUAAUAAUUGUCCUAAUUUUUUUGAUCUCUGACCUUUGGAUACAGCAACAUAGAUAUUCGAUAACAGAACAUAGUUACGUCAUUUGUUGGUUCUAAUACAAUAAGCUUCUCGAAGAUAUACCAGCUUAGUUUCAGAAUACACUUAGACAAGCACCAAGAAGAGAUCUCCAUGCUGAUUCAAUUGGUGCAAUAGGCAUUGUUGACACACAAAAAGUUCAACCUAAGUCGAAUAGUCCAAGAAAUGAAGCCCAACG
Molecule: long non-coding RNA, 1267 nt
Filed under: Olea europaea subsp. europaea
Lineage: Eukaryota; Viridiplantae; Streptophyta; Magnoliopsida; Lamiales; Oleaceae
Source: RNAcentral